GCCAGGCGUGGUGGUGUGCACCUGUAAUCCCAGCUACUUGGGAGGCUGAGGCAGGAGAAUCACUUGAACCCGGGAGACAGAGGUUGCAGUGAGCUGAGAUCACGCCACUGCACUCCAGCCUGGGUGACAGAGUGAGACUCUGUCUCGA
This 148-nucleotide non-coding RNA is filed under the name Chlorocebus sabaeus (green monkey). The record is from Rfam by way of RNAcentral. Lineage: Eukaryota; Metazoa; Chordata; Mammalia; Primates; Cercopithecidae.